Molecule: ribosomal RNA, 449 nt
Filed under: uncultured bacterium
Lineage: Bacteria
Description: partial 16S ribosomal RNA
Rfam family: Bacterial small subunit ribosomal RNA
Source: RNAcentral
CCUACGGGGGGCUGCAGUGGGGAAUUUUGGACAAUGGGGGCAACCCUGAUCCAGCCAUUCCGUGUGAGUGAAGAAGGCCUUCGGGUUGUAAAGCUCUUUUGUCCGGAGCGAAACGGGCGGCCCUAAUACGGUCGUCUACUGACGGUACCGGAAGACUAAGCACCGGCUAACUACGUGCCAGCAGCCGCGGUAAUACGUACGGUGCGAGCGUUCAUAGGACUUACUGGGGCGAAAGCGUGCGCAGGAUGUUAAAUCCCCGGGCUCAACCUGGGAAUGGCAUUUGGGACUGCAAGGCUGGAGUGUGGCAGAGGGGACUAGAAUUCCUGGUGUAGCAGUGAAAUGCGUAGAUAUCAGGAGGAAUACCGAUGGCGAAGGCAGGUCCCUGGGUUAACACUGACGCUCAUGCACGAAAGCGUGGGGAGCAAACAGGAUUAGAUACCCCUGUAGUC